This 497-nucleotide ribosomal RNA is filed under the name uncultured bacterium. RNAcentral describes it as "partial 16S ribosomal RNA". It matches the Rfam family "Bacterial small subunit ribosomal RNA", at positions 28 to 507 of the family's 1533-position model. The record is from RNAcentral.
GAUGAACGCUGGCGGCGUGCCUAAUACAUGCAAGUCGAGCGAACAGACGAGGAGCUUGCUCCUCUGACGUUAGCGGCGGACGGGUGAGUAACACGUGGAUAACCUACCUAUAAGACUGGGAUAACUUCGGGAAACCGGAGCUAAUACCGGAUAAUAUAUUGAACCGCAGGGUUCAUUAGUGAAAGACGGUUUUGCUGUCACUAAUAGAUGGAUCCGCGCCGCAUUAGCUAGUUGGUAAGGUAACGGCUUACCAAGGCAACGAUGCGUAGCCGACCUGAGAGGGUGAUCGGCCACACUGGAACUGAGACACGGUCCAGACUCCUACGGGAGGCAGCAGUAGGGAAUCUUCCGCAAAGGGCGAAAGCUUGACGGAGCAACGCCGCGUGAGUGAUGAAGGUCUUCGGAUCGUAAAACUCUGUUAUUAGGGAAGAACAAAUGUGUAAGUAACUAUGCACGUCUUGACGGUACCUAAUCAGAAAGCCACGGCUAACUACGUG